RNAcentral lists this long non-coding RNA (667 nucleotides) under Olea europaea (common olive). RNAcentral describes it as "long non-coding RNA (OEUR_LNC002923)". The record is from RNAcentral. Lineage: Eukaryota; Viridiplantae; Streptophyta; Magnoliopsida; Lamiales; Oleaceae.
GAAAUUAUUGUAUCAAUUCAAGAAUUUCAUUUUUCAACCACCUCCCGUCGCCCGUCUGCACCCUACUCUGGUGCCGCCUCAGCCUCAACCAAUCAACCUCCUCCUCCUCCUCCCUCUGAUGACAAACUUCUAUCUUGCUUAGUUGCUCCGUAACAGUAAGGUGUCCUAGUCCCGCCAGUCUUGAACCUCCGUUGAAGGGUUGCAAUGUUUUGGCUCCGGUUAUUCUUCCGACGGCAAUCGACAGUCCUCACAGCAGAAGAAGAAGGUCUGAUUCGUUUGAAGAUGAAGCCCCGAUUUUCCAAAUUCCACCAGCCCUGAAUCCCGGAUUGGCUGAUUAUUCACUAGCUCAUUUUGAUUUUUUUUUCUUUUUAUUUUAUUCUUUUGUUAUUUAGAUUUAUGUGAUUUGGUGGGUGUUUUUUUUUUUUUUUCCCCCCCUAAACAUAUGGAAUUAGGCAAUUAGCAACUCUUCAAUUGCUUGAACUAGAAGCCACAUUGCCAUUUGCCAUUGCUUUUACACUGUGAGUUGCUUGCUUAUUCUCUGUUACUUGAAUUUUGAAAUAGUAUAUAUUGCCUUGUGAAUCUGUGAAUUGAUGAAUGUGUUGGCUUGUUGCCCUGUGAAUUGCUUAUAAUAUUGGUAUUGCUAUGGCCUAUGUGAAUGGAAUUGUCC